Molecule: ribosomal RNA, 303 nt
Filed under: Triticum aestivum (bread wheat)
Lineage: Eukaryota; Viridiplantae; Streptophyta; Magnoliopsida; Poales; Poaceae
Description: partial small subunit ribosomal RNA
Source: RNAcentral
AUGGCUUCAUCCGGUUCCAGGACGAGGCCGGCGUGCGCGGACCAAGAGGACAUGCCGAAGACGUGGAUGGAGGCCACGUUGGAGAAGGAGAAGGAUGUGCCCACACCACCAUGUUGGUGUGGUGAUGUUUGCAAGCUGAAGGUGUCCACGGACCGCAAGAAGUCAUGGACAGAAGGUAGAAGGUUUUUCGUGUGUCCCAACUAUGCACAUGAUCGUCGAAGGCCAACUAACGCAUAUGACAUACCACCAGUAUGUUGGGUGUACAUACAAAAAACCUCAUCAAGUUUGAACUCAUAUUACUAA